CAUACCAGAUGGCUCUAAAAGAUGGGUAAGAAUUAUUUAUAAAAUCAUGGCUCUGCAGCCAAUGUUGGCUCAAAAAUUCACCAUGAUACCACAUACAACAUGAUAGAGAACCAUAACUACAGAAAAUAUUCAUUGUACAUACAACAUGAUAGAGAACCAUAACUACAGAAAAUAUUCAUUGUACCUUCCUAAAGUUUAGCAUUUUAAAGAUACAAUAAUUCGUUCUAAACUGAUGGGAUUUAAAGAUUAAGCUGUUGCAUUUAAAAACAAUUGGUUUUCUUCAAGCACCCUUCCUAUGAAC
This 301-nucleotide long non-coding RNA is filed under the name Theobroma cacao (cacao). RNAcentral describes it as "long non-coding RNA (TCAC_LNC004094)". Lineage: Eukaryota; Viridiplantae; Streptophyta; Magnoliopsida; Malvales; Malvaceae. The record is from RNAcentral.